This 483-nucleotide ribosomal RNA is filed under the name uncultured bacterium. RNAcentral describes it as "partial 16S ribosomal RNA". It matches the Rfam family "Bacterial small subunit ribosomal RNA", at positions 30 to 506 of the family's 1533-position model. The record is from RNAcentral.
AUUGAACGCUGGCGGCAGGCCUAACACAUGCAAGUCGAGCGGAUGAAGGGAGCUUGCUCCUGGAUUCAGCGGCGGACGGGUGAGUAAUGCCUAGGAAUCUGCCUGGUAGUGGGGGAUAACGUCCGGAAACGGGCGCUAAUACCGCAUACGUCCUGAGGGAGAAAGUGGGGGAUCUUCGGACCUCACGCUAUCAGAUGAGCCUAGGUCGGAUUAGCUAGUUGGUGGGGUAAAGGCCUACCAAGGCGACGAUCCGUAACUGGUCUGAGAGGAUGAUCAGUCACACUGGAACUGAGACACGGUCCAGACUCCUACGGGAGGCAGCAGUGGGGAAUAUUGGACAAGGGGCGAAAGCCUGAUCCAGCCAUGCCGCGCGUGUGAAGAAGGUCUUCGGAUUGUAAAGCACUUUAAGUUGGGAGGAAGGGCAGUAAGUUAAUACCUUGCUGUUUUGACGUUACCAACAGAAUAAGCACCGGCUAACUUCGU